This 158-nucleotide ribosomal RNA is filed under the name Inocybe sp. AU15. RNAcentral's name for it is "5.8S ribosomal RNA". It matches the Rfam family "5.8S ribosomal RNA". Rfam says of the family: 5.8S ribosomal RNA (5.8S rRNA) is a component of the large subunit of the eukaryotic ribosome. It is transcribed by RNA polymerase I as part of the 45S precursor that also contains 18S and 28S rRNA. Functionally, it is thought that 5.8S rRNA may be involved in ribosome translocation. RNAcentral also lists the same sequence under 2 other names. The record is from RNAcentral. Lineage: Eukaryota; Fungi; Basidiomycota; Agaricomycetes; Agaricales; Inocybaceae.
CAACUUUCAGCAACGGAUCUCUUGGCUCUCGCAUCGAUGAAGAACGCAGCGAAAUGCGAUAAGUAAUGUGAAUUGCAGAAUUCAGUGAAUCAUCGAAUCUUUGAACGCACCUUGCGCUCCUUAGUAUUCUGAGGAGCAUGCCUGUUUGAGUGUCAUUA